UACGAAGGCCACAAGCGUUAUCCGGAUUUAUUGGGCGUAAAGGGCGCGUAGGGGGCUUUGCCAGUCCGCGGUCAAAUGUCGGGGCUCAACUCCGAACCCGCCGCGAAAACAGGAAGGCUCGAGGGCGGUAGAAGCAGAUGGAACGCACGGUGUAGGGGUGAAAUCGGGUGAUGUCGUGCGGAACACCAAAGGCGAAGGCAUUCUGCUGGGACGUUCCUGACCCUGAGGCGCGAAAGCGUGGGGAGCAAAAAGGAAUAAAUACCCUUGGAGUCCACGCCCUAAACGAUGGAGACUAACUGUCUCGAGUAUCGACCCUCGGGGUGACGGAUCUAACGCGUUAAAUCAGCCGGCUGGCAGGUACGGCCGCAAGUCUAAACCUCAAAGGAAUAGACGGGGACUCGCACAAGCGCUGGAGCAUGUGGUUUAAUUCGAUGGUAAUCGAGACACCUCACCAGGGUUUGACCUGUGUUUGAAAACCGACCGAACGGUUGGCCCUCUUUUCUCGAAGACAAACGCACAGGUGCUGCAUGGUUGCCGUCAGCUCGUGCCGUGAGGCGUUCCCUUAAGUGGGGUAACGAGCGCAACCCCCGUCCUCUGUUACAAGUGUCAGAGGAAACUGCCGUCCUAUAGACGGAGGAAGGCGGGGAGGACGUCAAAUCAGCAUGCACCUUUGACACCCUGGGCUACACACAUGCUACAAUGGCCGGCACAGAGGGUUGCCAAGUCGAGAGGCGGAGCUAAUCCCUUAAAACCGCCCCCAGUUCAGAUUGAGGGCUGCAACUCGCCCUCAUGAACCCGGAAUCGCUAGUAAUCGCGGAUCAUCAUCCCGCGGUGAAUACGUUCUCGAGUCC
Molecule: ribosomal RNA, 851 nt
Filed under: uncultured bacterium
Lineage: Bacteria
Description: SSU rRNA
Rfam family: Bacterial small subunit ribosomal RNA
Source: RNAcentral